This 891-nucleotide ribosomal RNA is filed under the name uncultured archaeon. RNAcentral's name for it is "bacterial SSU rRNA". It matches the Rfam family "Archaeal small subunit ribosomal RNA", at positions 21 to 903 of the family's 1478-position model. The record is from RNAcentral.
GGUCACUGCUAUUGGGAUUCGGCUAAGCCAUGCAAGCGGAGGGCGCGGUCGAAAGAUCGUGGCCCCGCACACUGCUCAGUAACACGUAGUCAACCUACCCUUGGGACAGGGACAACCUCGGGAAACUGAGGCUAAUCCCCGAUAGGUGAGGGACGCUGGAAUGCCUCCUCGCCCAAAGCUCCGGCGCCCAAGGAUGGGACUGCGGUCUAUCAGGCUGUUGGUGGUGUAACGGACCACCAAACCUACGACGGGUACGGGCGAUGGGAGUCGGAGCCCGGAGAUGGGGACUGAGACAAGGCCCCAGGCCCUACGGGGCGCAGCAGGCGCGAAAACUCCGCAAUGCGCGCAAGCGUGACGGGGGAAUCCCAAGUGCCGUUGGUCUUAUGAUCGACGGUUUUUAGGAAGUCUAAGAAGCUUCCAGAAUAAGGGCUGGGCAAGACUGGUGCCAGCCGCCGCGGUAACACCAGCAGCCCAAGUGGUGACCACGAUUAUUGGGCCUAAAGCGCUCGUAGCCGGAUCAGCAAGUCCCUUGUGAAAUCGGGCCGCCUAACGGUUCGGCGUGCAAGGGAUACUGCUGGUCUUGAGGCCGGGAGAGGUCGGAGGUACUCCUGGGGUAGCGGUGAAAUGCUCUAAUCCUAGGGGGACCACCAGUGGCGAAGGCGUCCGACCAGAACGGACCUGACGGUGAGGGGCGAAGGCUAGGGGAGCGAACGGGAUUAGAUACCCCGGUAGUCCUAGCUGUAAAGCAUGCGGGCCAGGUGUCUAGCGCUCCUCGAGGGCGCUAGGUGCCGGAGGGAAGCCGUUAAGCCCGCCGCCUGGGAAGUACGGCCGCAAGGCUGAAACUUAAAGAAAUUGGCGGGGGAGCACCACAAGAGGUGGGACCUGCGGUUC